Erigeron canadensis is the source of this 1337-nucleotide long non-coding RNA. RefSeq lists it as uncharacterized. NCBI's taxonomy places the organism in Eukaryota, Viridiplantae, Streptophyta, Magnoliopsida, Asterales, Asteraceae. The record is from RefSeq and is a predicted model, not a curated record. The transcript has 3 exons.
UAGAAACUCAGACAACAAUAAGAGAGAAAAAUGAAGCAGCAAGCAAUAGGGGAAUGGAUGUUUCCAAAGGGCUGUUACCCCCCUUUUUACUGCUUAUGAUUUUUUCUAUUUACCCUCUACAAAAAACAGCCCUUUCCUCUGUGUUUGUCUCUCUCUCUAUAUAUAGGGGGCCAAUCAAAUGAGGACACCCUUAAAAUGAGAACACUGAAUGAGAACACGGUGAACACUUAAAAACAUCAUUUUGAUGCAUUCAAAAUCCAUAAAACUAACCUACUGCAAUAACAAUAAGAAUCAUCUUUUGUUGUUGUUGUUGCUGCUACUACUCUUUUUAGACCAUUUGUAACCAUUCACCUUUUUUACGAAUGGUCAAGUUAUUAUAGUAAAUUACACUGAUGGUCCCUGUGGUUUGCACAUAUUUUACGAUAAUCGUUCCUGUGGUGGUUAUGAUAUUAUGCAUUAUGAGGCAGUGAUGAUGAAUGAUGAUGGUCCCUUUUGUUGUUGUCUGAGUUUUAGAUUGAGCAAAUUUUGAGAGAUUAUCCGUAUCUUGGCGGGGCAAUUUUUAUAUAUUUUGGAGGUGUCCAGGUUAGAAUUCAACGAAAACGUUGAUUCGAAACCUUUGGGAUGCAGCCGUGUUAUAUUUGCAACCAUGGCGGUUAUCUCCUCUUUAGCUUGAUCUCUUUAUACAAAUCUGAGCCUCAGCUUUAAUUUUUUGAAACUGUUCAAUUAUCCUUGAUUUAGAUCAUUAUAUAUCUCUGACUUGUGACAUUGAGGUUUUCUUUAUGGUUUUUGACUUUUUGUUUUUAGUAUAUAAGCAGAGAUAUGACUUUGAUUUUGUUUCAUAUAUAUCUCUACCUUUGGUAGGGGUAAGGUUUUCUACGUCUCAACCUCCCCCAUACACUGUCGAAGACGGCAUUGGGAGUUACUUUUACCAUAUACAUUUUCGGAAUUUGGAUAUGGCUGCAGCAGAUUCUUUAGUAAAAAAUGAAAAAUUUAGAGAGGGUUAUUGUGGGUUUUGCUGCUCGACUUAUUAAUGAAGACAGCUGAGAGUUUUGUAGGGAGGAGCUGGUUCAAAUCUUUAAUGCAUCAAGACGGUUGACGAGUAAAGUCAGUCUGCGAUGAUGAAUAUGGUAAAGAGAGGUCAUGUAGUACUGAAUGUACAUAUGUUUUGGUCAGGCACCAGCUGCUUUGAGUUGACGUUGUAGUUAGUCAGGAAUGCAGGAUGCUGCAUUUGUCCUGCACAAUAAGUGAUAAACUGAGUAUGUACAUAUGUUUUGGUUAUUGCUGUUUAAAGGGUUUGGAAACUUAAACCAUUUAGUGUAUAAUUGUGUGUUUUUUUA